Nicotiana tabacum (common tobacco) is the source of this 727-nucleotide non-coding RNA. The record is from RefSeq and is a predicted model, not a curated record. NCBI's taxonomy places the organism in Eukaryota, Viridiplantae, Streptophyta, Magnoliopsida, Solanales, Solanaceae.
UAUAGGAGACAUAAAGAGAAGAACACGAUCAGAUCCCUACCCUUGAGAAAUCCAGCAAAUGGCGCAUCUCAGAGAAGCUCCCAUUUUCCUUCUUCACUAUCAUCUUCAACCUUGAAUACUCAACCACUGCUCCCCACUUUUCCACCAUUUUCGUUUCUUUUCAAGCAAAACAAAGAGCCAGCUUCUUCAGUUUCUUUUCUUUACUGCAAAGAUCAGAAAACACAAAAAAAGAUAGAGAAAGAAUACAUAGCAUAAAGGCUAAAAAACGAGAUGAAAUGAAAAGCAAGAGAUCCGAGUUUCGACGAGUUUUGGUGUAAUUUGAAUUUUCCGGCGAGUUCCGAGUCCAUGGAAGGUCGUACUCUGAGCUUUCCUGGGCUGAUUGGUUGUUGUCUGCUUCAUUGCUAAGCCCCAGCUUUCCUUCGCCUUUACUUGACUGUUUUAGAUCAAAUGUUGCAAUCUAGAUCCUGGAGCAGCUUUCAGACAGUAGUUGGAGGGCUUCUUUCAGUCCAUCCGGAGACCCAAGGUAGACCUGCAGACACCCGCGGGCCCUAGCAUCUCCCUCUAUCUCUAUUUCAUGUUUCCUUUAUCUCUUUCUCAGGAACAACACUAUGUAUUUUCUUCAGACUUUGUAUGUAGUGACUCUUAGACAGUCUGUAGUAUUGUGACACCAGAUUUUGGGGUAUUGAAGCUUAAAAGUGAAAAUAGACGUAGCUCUAAGCUUUAUAAA